UCAAACUUGGUCAUUUAGAGGAAGUAAAAGUCGUAACAAGGUUUCCGUAGGUGAACCUGCGGAAGGAUCAUUAUUAUUUGCAUCGGGUUUAUUCUGUCGUUCGGUUCUUUUUUUUUCCUAUUUCUAUCAGUUUCUUAACGGAAUAAACCUGAUACAAAUAGUUAUCGACUUUUGCCUCGGAGUUCUAGAAAUAGGGCUCUAGGAGCAAGGAUGAUUACAUAUUUAAAACCCAACUCUUUGAAUCAAUAUUAUAAUAUUUAAUUAAAUAAAAGAUCACUUUCAACAACGGAUCUCUUGGCUCUCGCAUCGAUGAAGAACGCAGC
Molecule: unclassified non-coding RNA, 323 nt
Filed under: uncultured fungus
Lineage: Eukaryota; Fungi
Description: partial contains small subunit ribosomal RNA, internal transcribed spacer 1, and 5.8S ribosomal RNA
Rfam family: Eukaryotic small subunit ribosomal RNA (bases 1-73)
Source: RNAcentral